UGCCGCGUGAGUGAGGAAGGCCUUAGGGUUGUAAAGCUCUUUCGGCGGGGAACGAUGAUGACGGUACCCGCAGAAGAAGCCCCGGCUAACUUCGUGC
This 97-nucleotide ribosomal RNA is filed under the name uncultured bacterium. RNAcentral describes it as "partial 16S ribosomal RNA". It matches the Rfam family "Bacterial small subunit ribosomal RNA", at positions 395 to 508 of the family's 1533-position model. The record is from RNAcentral.